Molecule: transfer RNA, 88 nt
Filed under: Pseudomonas sp. ATCC 13867
Lineage: Bacteria; Pseudomonadati; Pseudomonadota; Gammaproteobacteria; Pseudomonadales; Pseudomonadaceae
Also listed under: 2 other names
Description: tRNA-Ser (TGA) (tRNA-Ser-TGA-1-1)
Rfam family: tRNA
About the family: Transfer RNA (tRNA) molecules are approximately 80 nucleotides in length. Their secondary structure includes four short double-helical elements and three loops (D, anti-codon, and T loops).
Source: RNAcentral
GGAAGUGUGGCCGAGUGGUUUAAGGCAACGGUCUUGAAAACCGUCGACGGGAAACUGUCCCAGAGUUCGAAUCUCUGCGCUUCCGCCA